UACGUAGGUGGCAAGCGUUGUCCGGAAUUAUUGGGCGUAAAGCGCGCGCAGGUGGUUUCUUAAGUCUGAUGUGAAAGCCCACGGCUCAACCGUGGAGGGUCAUUGGAAAUUGGGGAACUUGAGUGCAGGAGAGAAGAGUGGAAUUCCACGUGUAGCGGUGAAAUGCGUAGAGAUGUGGAGGAACACCAGUGGCGAAGGCGACUCUUUGGCCUGUAACUGACACUGAGGCGCGAAAGCAUGGGGAGCGAACAGG
RNAcentral lists this ribosomal RNA (253 nucleotides) under uncultured bacterium. RNAcentral describes it as "partial 16S ribosomal RNA". It matches the Rfam family "Bacterial small subunit ribosomal RNA", at positions 524 to 776 of the family's 1533-position model. The record is from RNAcentral.